GAUGAACGCUGGCGGCGUGCCUAAUACAUGCAAGUCGAGCGAACGGACGAGAAGCUUGCUUCUCUGAUGUUAGCGGCGGACGGGUGGGUAACACGUGGAUAACCUACCUAUAAGACUGGGAUAACUUCGGGAAACCGGAGCUAAUACCGGAUAAUAUUUUGCACCGCAUGGUUCAAAAGUGACAGACGGUCUUGCUGUCACUUAUAGAUGGAUCCGCGCUGCAUUAGCUAGUUGGUAAGGUAACGGCUUACCAAGGCAACGAUGCAUAGCCGACCUGAGAGGGUGAUCGGCCACACUGGAACUGAGACACGGUCCAUACUCCUACGGGAGGCAGCAGUAGGGAAUCUUCCGCAAUGGGCGAAAGCCUGACGGAGCAACGCCGCGUGAGUGAUGAAGGUCUUCGGAUCGUAAAACUCUGUUAUUAGGGAAGAACAUAUGUGUAAGUAACUGUGCACAUCUUGACGGUACCUAAUCAGAAAGCCACGGCUAACUACGUG
This 497-nucleotide ribosomal RNA is filed under the name uncultured bacterium. RNAcentral describes it as "partial 16S ribosomal RNA". It matches the Rfam family "Bacterial small subunit ribosomal RNA", at positions 28 to 507 of the family's 1533-position model. The record is from RNAcentral.